Drosophila mojavensis is the source of this 2321-nucleotide RNA transcript. RefSeq lists it as uncharacterized. The transcript is spliced from 6 exons. The record is from RefSeq and is a predicted model, not a curated record. NCBI's taxonomy places the organism in Eukaryota, Metazoa, Arthropoda, Insecta, Diptera, Drosophilidae.
AACGCAACUAGUAUGCGCUCGAACACGGCAUUGCGCACAUCAUGGGCGAGAGUGGGCGCGCGCAAAUCGAUGCGAAUCGUGUGCGAUGUGCCAGGCACGAAUCAAUCGUGACACGACACAACGCAACUCGGCGCGACGGAGCUGUGCGGCUAACGGUGCCACCGACUCUGGCUGGUCUGGGCUGGGCGGUGCCAUCUGACGGUGGGUCAACUCCAACGACGACAACGACGACGACUGCCUCAAGUGAUCCGCGGUCUACUUUUAGGCUGACUCCAGGAGUCAACGCUCAUUUCCUACAGGGCAUCAGCAAUGUCGUCGACUUCGAAAGGGAUACAGUUAUAGCCGUGUAUAGCUGGAAGCGUUGCGGACGAAAACGGUAACAUGGCAGCUGAGUGUCGUGACAGACAGAGACGGCGACAGAGGAAGAGACAGAGAGAGAGAGCGAGUGUGUGGGUAUGUGUGUGAGUGUGGGUGGUGAGAGCGUUCUCCAUUUUAUGUACAAUAAAGGAAUUUGCACACACAGCGACAGACAGCGCCACAGAGAGACAACGGGACAGCGAGACAGCCGGACAGCGGGACAGCGAGACAGACAGACGUGCGCAUGAAGUGAACUUGUUAAUGCUGUCUAUAAGCAGCAUUUACAUACGAGUUGACCCCACAUGUACACAUAAAUAUGUUUAUGCUGUUGUGCAUAUGUGUGUGUGUGUGUGUUUGUGUGUGAGUAAGUACGAUGUCCUGCUUGCUUUUAAGAGAAUGCCCAGCCGCAAGCCUUCGAAUGGACACACUUGACUAAAUGUGAUUACUAUGUAUGUGCAGCAGCAGCUAUGUAUAUACACCAACACACACACACACACACAUGCACAUACUUAUGCAUGGCAGCAUGUAUCACUAUGCCCACUCCCAUUGGACCUACGAUGAAGCACCCUGUAAAUCUAUUGUCUAACAUUCUGAAGGCUGCAGCCGACUAACAAUUUCCACUCCAUUUAAAAUGUUCGCUCGAUAUGACAGCGUCUUAGAUGUGUAAACAGCGCUUGGCUUAGAUUUAUUUAUGAACUGGCUGUUGGUAUGUCCGAAAUGUGCGGAUCGGAUCACACAUCAAAUGGUGUCCCGCUGCUGCAGCAGACGCGUCCACAAAUAAACGCGCGCGCCACAAAGCAUCUCGAAUACAUCAAAGUAACAAGCUCCAGCUGUGCACCACAGCCAACCACAGCGAAAACCACUGACCAAGCACGCCCAGAGAGCAGCAGCAGCGGCAGCAGCAGCGAGCAGGAGCGAGGGAGACAGAGCUAGCCAGCCAGGAUACCGGCGCCCACUGUCGCACAAAAUAUGACAUUGACUUAAUAAAGAAAUGAAAUAUCGCAGGCCAAGUGGAGCCCACUCGCCGUCGCAGAAGUCGCUGCAGAGGGGGGAUUUAAGCCGAAGCUGGCGCUAGUUGCCAUGCUGCGAUUUCGCAAAUUGUGGCACUUUCAGCUGCAAUGCCCCCCGCCUGAGGUGGCUCUCGCCGCACUCCGCACUCCGCCCUCCCCAAUCUCCACUCCACCGUCGGGUGUGACUGCGAGCGCAGUUGUACGAGCUGACCCAUUGAUCUUGUCGUGGCGUUUCAUUAUUUACAUUUUCUCUAACUACGGCAGAGCAGUUAGUGAGCAGCAAAAGAAUCUUAAUUGGAUUAGCUUCAGGUGAAGCGCCUUCUGCAUGGCCAGCCAGCCUCGUUUUAACUAGUCGCAGACUCUAACUAACAGCAGCCUCUCUCUAACAGUUAAUUAACUGGCUUUAACUAUCUUUGAUGCGGAUUCGGAGGCUGCUUAACUGAUUUGGGUUCUGGCUGCGACAUGGAUGAAAACUAUCGAAAUCUGGCUCUAACCGUAUAUGUUCAUAUCUGAAAAUGGAGCUAACGCAAUAAUAGUUUUAAUUAUAUACUCAAAUCUGCUGCAUAAAAAUGUAAUAAAGGCUUCUUAAAUAUUGUAUACUCAUAAAAGAAAUUGUUGAUAUAAAGAGUGCUUAUUCUAUGCAAAUAUUUUUAGUAGAAGCUAAAGAACAGCCAAUUGGCUUUUAAGCACUUCUACUUAAGCCUAGCAUAAGAUCACAUCAUGAAAUAAAUAAGUCGGUGUAUUUUCAGUUUAUUUAAUACAAAAUCAAGCAAAAAUAAAAUUGAAGAGGCAAAUUUUUGAUUACAAGAAGCUAAAUUAUGUAGAUUAAAUUACUUUGUAUAAAUUUUACCCCCGACCUAAGUAUGUGUCCCAAAAUAGUAUAAUACAAAUAAAUAAAAUCUAGAAAAUAGGUAUUGGCAAUUAUGUUGCACAAAUGUUGCCUAAUUCACUUAA